UGGGGAAUAUUGCACAAUGGGCGAAAGCCUGAUGCAGCGACGCCGCGUGAGGGAUGACGGCCUUCGGGUUGUAAACCUCUUUCAGCAGGGACGAAGCGCAAGUGACGGUACCUGCAGAAGAAGCACCGGCUAACUACGUGCCAGCAGCCGCGGUAAUACGUAGGGUGCAAGCGUUGUCCGGAAUUACUGGGCGUAAAGAGUUCGUAGGCGGUUUGUCGCGUCGUUUGUGAAAACCAGCAGCUCAACUGCUGGCUUGCAGGCGAUACGGGCAGACUUGAGUACUGCAGGGGAGACUGGAAUUCCUGGUGUAGCGGUGAAAUGCGCAGAUAUCAGGAGGAACACCGGUGGCGAAGGCGGGGCUCUGGGCAGUAACUGACGCUGAGGAACGAAAGCGUGGGUAGCGAACAGG
RNAcentral lists this ribosomal RNA (409 nucleotides) under bacterium. RNAcentral describes it as "partial 16S ribosomal RNA". It matches the Rfam family "Bacterial small subunit ribosomal RNA", at positions 355 to 776 of the family's 1533-position model. The record is from RNAcentral.